Molecule: RNA transcript, 794 nt
Organism: Solanum dulcamara
Lineage: Eukaryota; Viridiplantae; Streptophyta; Magnoliopsida; Solanales; Solanaceae
Gene name: chlorophyll a-b binding protein 13, chloroplastic-like
Exons: 4
Source: RefSeq, a predicted model, not a curated record
GAAAUAGAGAAAAUGGCAACAACAGGCAGCUCAGCCACAGUUAUUAGAGCAACUCCUUUCUUGGGCCAGACCAAAUAUGCUAACCCUCUUAGAGAUGCUGUUGCCAUGGGCGCUGCCAAAUUCACAAUGAGUAAUGAACUAUGGAAUGGACCUGACCGUGUCAAGUACUUGGGACCUUUCUCUGCUCAAACUCCUUCAUACUUGACCGGAGAAUUCCCCGGUGAUUAUGGAUGGGAUAUUGCUGGUUUAUCUGCUGAUCCUAAGGCAUUUGCCAACAACAGAGCUCUUGAGGUUACUCAUGGGAGAUGGGCCAUGCUUGGGGCUUUGGGCUGCAUUACACCAGAAGUUCUUGAAAAAUGGGUAAAAGUGGACUUCAAAGAACCAGUAUGGUUCAAAGCUGGAGCCCAAAUCUUCAGUGGAGGAGGAUUGGACUAUUUGGGCAACCCAAACCUUGUCCAUGCUCAGAGCAUUCUAGCAGUUUCCAAGUAGUACUAAUGGGCCUUGUAGAAGGUUUCAGAAUUAAUGGGCUUCCUGGAGUUGGUGAAGGCAACAAUCUUUACCCAGGUGGUCAGUACUUUGACCCAUUGGGCCUAGCAGAUGACCCAACAACUUUCGCUGAGCUCAAGGUUAAGGAGAUCAAGAACGGGAGAUUGGCUAUAUUCUCCAUGUUUGGAUUCUUUGUUCAAGCUAUUAUCAUCGGCAAAGGCCCACUUGAGAACCUAUUGGAUCACCUUGACAACCCUGUUGCUAACAAUGCUUGGGUUUAUGCUAAUAAGUUUGUUCCUGGAUCUUAA